AUGAGUUCGGUCAAGCCGGUGGGAGGCAAUGCCGGAAAAGUUGCCUUGGAUGAAGAUACAAUGACUCUUGACAUGGGUGAGGCUAAUAAGAAGCUUCGCAUCACUAGCGAUGGUAUACAGCAAUUAUUUGGUUGCCCUCGUGGUGGUCGUUCUGCGCCAAGGCCGUCAGAGGAUGGAUAUGACAACGCUCUGAUGAAGUUAAGAUCAGAGCUUGACAUUAGCAGGAACAAAGAUAUCAAGACAAAGGAUUUGAGGAAUAAGCUCAAGGUGCUCGUCAAGGAUCCUAGCAAAGAUGACCUUGCUCUGAAAGUGUUCUUCAUUAUUGUGUUUAUGAAGGUUAUGUUGCCUGGUUCUGCCCCGCAUGUUUCCAGAGAGGCAGCAAUGUUUGAGGGUCUCGUCUUUGAGGACAUGGCUAAUAUGGAUUAUUGCCAGCUGAUGGUUGAUGAGCUUAGAAGGGCUGUUGCCAAGUACCAAAAUGGUGAUACCAUGGGGAAGGCAAUCACAGGCUGUGCCAUAGGGCCUGUACUAAUGUACCUUGACUGCCUUAUCCGUGGCAAGACUGCAGAGCCUGACAUGCGAGUCCCCCGCAUAUGUUUCAUGGAUCCUACCAAGCUUUCUGAUCUGGUUGAUGCAGAUUUGAUAAAAAAAGGCAAUGCAGAUCCAAAGACUUGGGUGUUUGGGAAGCUUCCGGUAUGGUUUUUAGUACUGUUGUUUCGUGUGCGGUUGAACUGA
This 732-nucleotide ribosomal RNA is filed under the name Triticum aestivum (bread wheat). RNAcentral's name for it is "partial small subunit ribosomal RNA". The record is from RNAcentral. Lineage: Eukaryota; Viridiplantae; Streptophyta; Magnoliopsida; Poales; Poaceae.